Molecule: small nuclear RNA, 103 nt
Organism: Artibeus jamaicensis (Jamaican fruit-eating bat)
Lineage: Eukaryota; Metazoa; Chordata; Mammalia; Chiroptera; Phyllostomidae
Source: RefSeq, a predicted model, not a curated record
GUGCUCGUUUUGGCAGCACAUAUACUAAACUGGAAUACAGAAAAGAUUAGCAUGGUCCCUGCACAAGGGUAACACCCAAAUUCAUGAAGUGAUCCAUGUUUUU